UACAGAGGGUGCAAGCGUUAAUCGGAGUUACUGGGCGUAAAGGGCGCGUAGGCGGUUAUGCAAGUGAGAUGUGAAAUCCCUGGGCUUAACCUAGGAAUUGCAUUUUAGACUGUGUAACUGGAGUACAGUAGAGGGUGGUGGAAUUUCCGGUGUAGCGGUGAAAUGCGUAGAGAUCGGAAGGAACAUCAGUGGCGAAGGCGGCCACCUGGACUGAUACUGACGCUGAGGCGCGAAAGCGUGGGGAGCAAACAGG
RNAcentral lists this ribosomal RNA (253 nucleotides) under uncultured bacterium. Its description in RNAcentral is "partial 16S ribosomal RNA". It matches the Rfam family "Bacterial small subunit ribosomal RNA", at positions 524 to 776 of the family's 1533-position model. The record is from RNAcentral.